Molecule: long non-coding RNA, 1130 nt
Filed under: Prunus persica (peach)
Lineage: Eukaryota; Viridiplantae; Streptophyta; Magnoliopsida; Rosales; Rosaceae
Description: long non-coding RNA (PPER_LNC000392)
Source: RNAcentral
AUCUCAUACAUAUUCAAAUAUUCCUAUGUCAUUUAUUUGUUUGGUUACACAAGAAUCUUGUGUACGGGGUCAUACAUAAUUUCUCCAUGAUAUUCAACUAUUUGUUUAUUCUUUAACACCUAAUACCUACUAUGAUUAUGUGCAACAGAUUUUCUAAUUUGAAGGUUAGGUGUUUUAAUUUUUAUUGGCUUCUAUGUUCCUUGGUAUUUUUCCUAGUAAUUGCUAAUUUGUGUUUCAUGGUGCCCUAUGUAGAUAAAAAUGUCGUUGACAACAAAAUCUGGUGAGACUUCUCUCGACAUUCAAGAUGAUGACUAUACAAAAGCUAUACAUAUCGAUGCUAGUCUAUGUGGAAGUCAAUUAGGCCCGUUUGAUACAUGGAAAAUGAGACUUGGGGAUGGGAAAUCAAUUGCUUUCUCAUAUUUGGUAAAUCUUGGCAUGAAAAAUCGUUGCCUUGCACAUGAGAAAGUAGGGGGGAAGUGAAGCCCUCCUUCCCCCUUGAGUUUUGUUUUUCUCCUUAUGAGAAAGUUUGGGAAAAUAAAACAACAUUAAAUACACAUUUUUCAUGACCAUAUUGUCCCCAUUAACAAUUUAGAAUUACAAUAUAGCAUUAAAUGCAUUCUUUUUUUAUUUGAUUUCAUAUAGGUAUAAUUGAAAAAUUAAACAAAUUUUAUUUUACAUUCCUACACAAACCAAAAAUGUGAAAGGAAAUAAAGUGGUAUUUCUUGAUUACUUUCCUAUGAUUACUAAACAUGGUAAAGGAAUCUUAAUUUUCCAUCCUUGAGAAAUGACAAGGGAAGUGAUUUCCCCUCAAAUUUGUUCCGUAAACCAAACGGAGCCUACAAAUAAUGAUUCAGCAUAUAUCAUCCAUGGUGAUCAUCGAUCCUGAAUGUAAAAUACUAUGCAUUUAUCCGUAUUUCAUUAACCAUUCAAAUAAUUUAACCGGUUAGAAUAUGGCACAUUAAAUCUAUUUAAAAUUGUUUUGUCUAUAUAAAAACAAUAUUGGAGAAGGGAGAGAUUCAAACACUGAACUUAGUGUGUGUAUAUAUAUAAUUAUUCUUAACCAAUUAAGCUACAAACCCCUUACAUAAAGAAACUUUAAUUUGCACUCCCAAGGAAGCAACAUGACCAAG